Molecule: long non-coding RNA, 213 nt
Filed under: Hordeum vulgare
Lineage: Eukaryota; Viridiplantae; Streptophyta; Magnoliopsida; Poales; Poaceae
Description: long non-coding RNA (HVUL_LNC014769)
Source: RNAcentral
CCUCGUGGCCUGCGUGUUGGGUGCGUCGCCAGCUGAACAUCUUCGUUUCUGCUCCCACGACACGAGCCCCGCUCGUUGUUUACGUAUCCCUGUUUGAGCUCCCCGGUUUCACUCGUCUAGGCCACUGCAUAGCUAGUGACAUUUUUUUAUAUCCCUUUGAACUUCAGUGAUCAAGUCACUUCCUGGUAAGAGCGUCUUGAAUGGAAGAUGAAG